GGCUAGUCCAAAGGUAGAGAGUUAUCUCAGUUGAGUGUUCACUGUCGGUUACCGAUCAAACUCCUUGUUCCACUCUUUCUCCCUUUCUCACUACUGCACUUAACUAAUCAAAG
Unclassified non-coding RNA from Aotus nancymaae (Ma's night monkey), 113 nucleotides. It matches the Rfam family "Y RNA". From Rfam's summary of the family: Y RNAs are components of the Ro ribonucleoprotein particle (Ro RNP), in association with Ro60 and La proteins. The Y RNAs and Ro60 and La proteins are well conserved, but the function of the Ro RNP is not known. In humans the RNA component can be one of four small RNAs -- hY1, hY3, hY4 and hY5. NCBI's taxonomy places the organism in Eukaryota, Metazoa, Chordata, Mammalia, Primates, Aotidae. The record is from Ensembl.